AGACUUUACACCUGCUUCCUACGAAGAGGGAGCUCUUGCCAGCGAGCCCAUGCUUACCCAUAAUCUACGAAGAGAUCUUUUCAUCUCCUCUCCGUGAACACUUGGGGAGGGGCUGGGACUCCAGGCGACACGGAAACGCCACCACACGCACACUCGACGGAGCACAACACUUUCUGAGCUGCCAUCCAUUUUUAAUUUAUUGGAUCCAAGAGAAAAUAACAACCGUAGGGAGGGGGGAGGAGAAGGGUGGAGGGGGAGAGAGCAGGAAUCAAUUCUUGGUGGAGAAAAUAAUCUAUGACUAGAUGACGCUUAAAGGCACGACAAGAGAUUUUAUGAAGUUCCCCUAACGGAGGGAAUAAUGAAGUGCCUGGCAGAGAAGGAAAUGGAGAUAAGAGGGAGGCUGGUGUCAGGAGGAUGUCCACAGGGGGUCUCGAAGGGUUAUUAGGACACAAGUUGGGGGUGGGGACCCUGGGAAGGCACAGCCAGGCGGAGUCUGAAGCAGGAAGCAAGACCCAGAUCACACCUCUCUGUCCUGACCCUCGACCCUCUCAGCAGACAGUCAGAGGAGUCCAGCCUGCUCCAGGUGCGGAAGAAAAGAAGGGCUUCCACACAGGACACUGGACCUCAAGGCUUUAGCUGGAGGAGUUUGGAUUAUCUGAGGCCAACAGCAAAUAGCAAGGGCAGGAGUGCUUUCGACAUCUCUUUUCCAAGUAAAAUAGCUCAGGCUGGCUAUUCAACACCCAAGCAAAUUAUCAGCUGCCACAAGAAAAAGAAAAAAGAAUGAAUUUCUUGAUUUUCAGCAACUGCACAAAAGACUAGCAUAUGUCAAAAUGCUGGACCAACAUCCCGUGAAUGUGGCACCAUUCAUCAAGCCUCCAUCUAGUGU
This 886-nucleotide long non-coding RNA is filed under the name Homo sapiens (human). RNAcentral's name for it is "HSALNT0379084". Lineage: Eukaryota; Metazoa; Chordata; Mammalia; Primates; Hominidae. The record is from RNAcentral.